Molecule: small nucleolar RNA, 75 nt
Filed under: Callithrix jacchus (white-tufted-ear marmoset)
Lineage: Eukaryota; Metazoa; Chordata; Mammalia; Primates; Cebidae
Description: Small nucleolar RNA SNORD113/SNORD114 family (ENSCJAG00000062142.2)
Rfam family: Small nucleolar RNA SNORD113/SNORD114 family
About the family: The imprinted human domain at 14q32 contains two clusters of tandemly repeated small nucleolar RNAs named 14q(I) and 14q(II) snoRNAs.
Source: Rfam by way of RNAcentral
UGAACCAGUGAUGAAAACUGGUGGCAUAGAAGUCAAGGAUGCUGAAUAAUGUGUGUCCAGAUCUCUGAGGUUCCA